Molecule: ribosomal RNA, 501 nt
Filed under: uncultured bacterium
Lineage: Bacteria
Description: partial 16S ribosomal RNA
Rfam family: Bacterial small subunit ribosomal RNA
Source: RNAcentral
AUUGAACGCUGGCGGCAUGCCUUACACAUGCAAGUCGAACGGCAGCACGGGUGCUUGCACCUGGUGGCGAGUGGCGAACGGGUGAGUAAUAUAUCGGAACGUACCUUAUUGUGGGGGAUAACGCAGCGAAAGCUGUGCUAAUACCGCAUAAUCCCUAAGGGGGAAAGCGGGGGACCGUAAGGCCUCGCGCAAGUCGAGCGGGCGAUACCUGAUUAGCUAGUUGGGGAGGUAAAGGCUCACCAAGGAAACGAUCAGUAGCUGGUCUGAGAGGACGAUCAGCCACACUGGGACUGAGACACGGCCCAGACUCCUACGGGAGGCAGCAGUGGGGAAUUUUGGACAAUGGGGGCAACCCUGAUCCAGCAAUGCCGCGUGAGUGAAGAAGGCCUUCGGGUUGUAAAGCUCUUUUGUCAGGGAAGAAACAGCAGCUCUAACACAGUAUGCGAAUGACGGUACCUGAAGAAUAAGCACCGGCUAACUACGUGCCAGCCGCCGCCGUAA